This 713-nucleotide ribosomal RNA is filed under the name uncultured Bacillota bacterium. RNAcentral's name for it is "bacterial SSU rRNA". It matches the Rfam family "Bacterial small subunit ribosomal RNA", at positions 60 to 755 of the family's 1533-position model. Lineage: Bacteria; Bacillati; Bacillota. The record is from RNAcentral.
AGUCGAGCGAACAGAUAAGGAGCUUGCUCCUUUGACGUUAGCGGCGGACGGGUGAGUAACACGUGGAUAACCUACCUAUAAGACUGGGAUAACUUCGGGAAACCGGAGCUAAUACCGGAUAACAUAUUGAACCGCAUGGUUCAAUAGUGAAAGGCGGCUUUGCUGUCACUUAUAGAUGGAUCCGCGCCGUAUUAGCUAGUUGGUAAGGUAACGGCUUACCAAGGCAACGAUACGUAGCCGACCUGAGAGGGUGAUCGGCCACACUGGAACUGAGACACGGUCCAGACUCCUACGGGAGGCAGCAGUAGGGAAUCUUCCGCAAUGGGCGAAAGCCUGACGGAGCAACGCCGCGUGAGUGAUGAAGGUCUUCGGAUCGUAAAACUCUGUUAUCAGGGAAGAACAAAUGUGUAAGUAACUGUGCACAUCUUGACGGUACCUGAUCAGAAAGCCACGGCUAACUACGUGCCAGCAGCCGCGGUAAUACGUAGGUGGCAAGCGUUAUCCGGAAUUAUUGGGCGUAAAGCGCGCGUAGGCGGUUUUUUAAGUCUGAUGUGAAAGCCCACGGCUCAACCGUGGAGGGUCAUUGGAAACUGGAAAACUUGAGUGCAGAAGAGGAAAGUGGAAUUCCAUGUGUAGCGGUGAAAUGCGCAGAGAUAUGGAGGAACACCAGUGGCGAAGGCGACUUUCUGGUCUGUAACUGACGCUGAUGUGCG